Molecule: ribosomal RNA, 634 nt
Filed under: Flavobacterium sp. So2Ps_952
Lineage: Bacteria; Pseudomonadati; Bacteroidota; Flavobacteriia; Flavobacteriales; Flavobacteriaceae
Description: bacterial SSU rRNA
Rfam family: Bacterial small subunit ribosomal RNA
Source: RNAcentral
UCUGACCAGCCAUGCCGCGUGCAGGAUGACGGUCCUAUGGAUUGUAAACUGCUUUUGCACAGGAAGAAACACUCCGACGUGUCGGAGCUUGACGGUACUGUGAGAAUAAGGAUCGGCUAACUCCGUGCCAGCAGCCGCGGUAAUACGGAGGAUCCAAGCGUUAUCCGGAAUCAUUGGGUUUAAAGGGUCCGUAGGCGGUCUUGUAAGUCAGUGGUGAAAGCCCAUCGCUCAACGGUGGAACGGCCAUUGAUACUGCAGGACUUGAAUUAUUGGGAAGUAACUAGAAUAUGUAGUGUAGCGGUGAAAUGCUUAGAGAUUACAUGGAAUACCAAUUGCGAAGGCAGGUUACUACCAAUUUAUUGACGCUGAUGGACGAAAGCGUGGGUAGCGAACAGGAUUAGAUACCCUGGUAGUCCACGCCGUAAACGAUGGAUACUAGCUGUUGGGAGCAAUCUCAGUGGCUAAGCGAAAGUGAUAAGUAUCCCACCUGGGGAGUACGAACGCAAGUUUGAAACUCAAAGGAAUUGACGGGGGCCCGCACAAGCGGUGGAGCAUGUGGUUUAAUUCGAUGAUACGCGAGGAACCUUACCAAGGCUUAAAUGCAGACUGACCGAUUUGGAAACAGAUCUUUCAC